RNAcentral lists this ribosomal RNA (492 nucleotides) under uncultured bacterium. RNAcentral's name for it is "partial 16S ribosomal RNA". It matches the Rfam family "Bacterial small subunit ribosomal RNA", at positions 29 to 507 of the family's 1533-position model. The record is from RNAcentral.
AGUGAACGCUGGCGGUAGGCCUAACACAUGCAAGUCGAACGGCAGCACAGUAAGAGCUUGCUCUUACGGGUGGCGAGUGGCGGACGGGUGAGGAAUACAUCGGAAUCUACUUUUUCGUGGGGGAUAACGUAGGGAAACUUACGCUAAUACCGCAUACGACCUACGGGUGAAAGCAGGGGAUCUUCGGACCUUGCGCGAUUGAAUGAGCCGAUGUCGGAUUAGCUAGUUGGCGGGGUAAAGGCCCACCAAGGCGACGAUCCGUAGCUGGUCUGAGAGGAUGAUCAGCCACACUGGAAGUGAGACACGGUCCAGACUCCUACGGGAGGCAGCAGUGGGGAAUGUUGGGCAAUGGGCGCAAGCCUGAUCCAGCCAUACCGCGUGGGUGAAGAAGGCCUUCGGGUUGUAAAGCCCUUUUGUUGGGAAAGAAAAGCAGCAGGUUAAUACCCCGCUGUUCUGACGGUACCCAAAGAAUAAGCACCGGCUAACUUCGUG